RNAcentral lists this ribosomal RNA (240 nucleotides) under uncultured soil bacterium. Its description in RNAcentral is "partial 16S ribosomal RNA". It matches the Rfam family "Bacterial small subunit ribosomal RNA", at positions 26 to 267 of the family's 1533-position model. The record is from RNAcentral.
AGAUUGAACGCUGGCGGCAGGCCUAACACAUGCAAGUCGAGCGGUAGAGAGGUGCUUGCAUCUCUUGAGAGCGGCGGACGGGUGAGUAAUGCCUAGGAAUCUGCCUAGGUGGUGGGGGAUAACGUUCGGAAACGGACGCUAAUACCGCAUACGUCCUACGGGAGAAAGCGGGGGACCUUCGGGCCUCGCGCCAUUAGAUGAGCCUAGGUCGGAUUAGCUAGUUGGUGAGGUAAUGGCUCA